UACGAAGGGUGCAAGCGUUACUCGGAAUUACUGGGCGUAAAGCGUGCGUAGGUGGUUCGUUAAGUCUGAUGUGAAAGCCCUGGGCUCAACCUGGGAAUGGCAUUGGAAACUGGCGACCUAGAGUGCGGUAGAGGGUAGUGGAAUUCCCGGUGUAGCAGUGAAAUGCGUAGAGAUCGGGAGGAACAUCAGUGGCGAAGGCGACUGCCUGGACCAGCACUGACACUGAGGCACGAAAGCGAGGGGAGCAAACAGG
RNAcentral lists this ribosomal RNA (253 nucleotides) under uncultured bacterium. RNAcentral describes it as "partial 16S ribosomal RNA". It matches the Rfam family "Bacterial small subunit ribosomal RNA", at positions 524 to 776 of the family's 1533-position model. The record is from RNAcentral.